This 244-nucleotide ribosomal RNA is filed under the name uncultured bacterium. RNAcentral describes it as "partial 16S ribosomal RNA". It matches the Rfam family "Bacterial small subunit ribosomal RNA", at positions 528 to 772 of the family's 1533-position model. The record is from RNAcentral.
UAGGUGGCGAGCGUUAUCCGGAUUUAUUGGGCGUAAAGCGUGCGCAGGCGGUUUGAUAAGUCUAAAAUUAAAGUCCGAAGCUUAACUUCGGUUCGUUUUAGAAACUGUCAGGCUAGAGUGCGGUAGAGGCAAAUGGAAUUUCUAGUGUAGCGGUAAAAUGCGUAGAUAUUAGAAGGAACACCAGUGGCGAAGGCGAUUUGCUGGGCCGCAACUGACGCUCAUGCACGAAAGCGUGGGGAGCAAA